GGACCUCCCAGCCUGCAGAAUGACUUGUUCAGUCUGUUAGGAAUCGACUAUAUGUAAUAUGUGAGAAACAGCUUGCAGAAACACUAGAUUCACAGAUGGAGGAGAAAUGCCAACUCACUAACAAGUUUAGUGCUGCCAAAAAGGAGUUAGAUGCUUACAAAAAGGUGAAGAUAGAGCCCAACGCAAAGCUGAUGGAGGCGUUCCCUGCCCUGGUUCAAGAAUUGAAAGAAGAGAGGUUCAAACUGUCCCAACAACAAGGGAGGCUGGCAGAGAUGCUAACAAUGCUGUAGUCCUUAGAAGAGGCCAUGAGAGUCACACCUGCACAAAGAGCUCUGCCAAACCUGCCAGGAAGACAAGAUCCAAGCCCUCUGCUCACUUCCCCAGGAGUGGGCCUGGGUCUUAAAGCAGCACUGUUCCCUCCCCUCCAUUCAAGCCUCCCAAGCUGCCCAGCUGCAUUCUCCCACCUGGAUUCCAUCAGAGGGUCGUUGAGGCAAGUGGAUCCAGGGAAGCCUCUCUCUGAGCUGGAGUUCCUCUGCCUUCACAUGCUGACACCGUGGCCAACUCCUUCAUGGUUGAUUCCUCCAAAUGUAAAGAAUACAGGAGAUCCUGGAACACACUAGGAAAUGUGAGACUUUCUCUCUCUUCAUAGAAAGAUUAGAUUCUCUCUCAUUAGCAGUGAAAGAAAUGCUGUAAUUGAGAGCCUCAUUUUUUACUCAAAUUGAAAUAUCAUCACACUGCAUUUCUUAAGACAAUGGUCUAUAAAUGUUUUUAUAUAUUAAUAAGUG
This 785-nucleotide long non-coding RNA is filed under the name Homo sapiens (human). Its description in RNAcentral is "HSALNT0127974". The record is from RNAcentral. Lineage: Eukaryota; Metazoa; Chordata; Mammalia; Primates; Hominidae.